This 86-nucleotide transfer RNA is filed under the name Armatimonadota bacterium. Its description in RNAcentral is "Armatimonadetes bacterium (bioreactor metagenome) tRNA-Leu". It matches the Rfam family "tRNA". Rfam says of the family: Transfer RNA (tRNA) molecules are approximately 80 nucleotides in length. Their secondary structure includes four short double-helical elements and three loops (D, anti-codon, and T loops). Further hydrogen bonds mediate the characteristic L-shaped molecular structure. tRNAs have two regions of fundamental functional importance: the anti-codon, which is responsible for specific mRNA codon recognition, and the 3' end, to which the tRNAs corresponding amino acid is attached (by aminoacyl-tRNA synthetases). tRNAs cope with the degeneracy of the genetic code in two manners: having more than one tRNA (with a specific anti-codon) for a particular amino acid; and 'wobble' base-pairing, i.e. permitting non-standard base-pairing at the 3rd anti-codon position. RNAcentral also lists the same sequence under 3 other names. Lineage: Bacteria; Bacillati; Armatimonadota. The record is from RNAcentral.
GCCGAAGUGGCGGAAUGGCAGACGCAACGGUCUCAAAAACCGUCGAGGGCAACCUCGUGUGGGUUCGACUCCCACCUUCGGCACCA